GUGGGGAAUCUUGCGCAAUGGGCGAAAGCCUGACGCAGCCAUGCCGCGUGAAUGAUGAAGGUCUUAGGAUUGUAAAAUUCUUUCACCGGGGACGAUAAUGACGGUACCCGGAGAAGAAGCUCCGGCUAACUUCGUGCUAGCAGCCGCGGUAGUAAGAAGGGGGCUAGCGUUGCUCUGAAUUACUGGGCGUAAAGGGCGCGUAGGCGGACAGCUUAGUCAGAGGUGAAAGCCCAGGGCUCAACCUUGGAAUUGCCUUUGAUACUGGCUGUCUUGAGUUUGGGAGAGGUGAGUGGAACUCCGAGUGUAGAGGUGAAAUUCGUAGAUAUUCGGAAGAACACCAGUGGCGAAGGCGACUCACUGGCCCAAUACUGACGCUGAGGCGCGAAAGCGUGGGGAGCAAACAGGAUUAGAUACCCGAGUAGUCC
RNAcentral lists this ribosomal RNA (425 nucleotides) under uncultured bacterium. RNAcentral's name for it is "partial 16S ribosomal RNA". It matches the Rfam family "Bacterial small subunit ribosomal RNA", at positions 354 to 796 of the family's 1533-position model. The record is from RNAcentral.